UGAUAAUCCACGGCUCUCACUUCAAAACCAUUCAACAAUAAAACCCCACACUCUCUUUUGGUUUUUGAGCAAUAUAGCUUCCCAUAGUAACUAGUAUCUUUCACUUCUUCAAUCCACAAACCUCUCUCUCUUCACGGGUAAUCAUCUCUUGCUUCUGAUUGCAAAUUAUUAUAUGCUUAUGAAGCCAAACACAGUUUUUUAGGUAAAGGUGCUAUAAUGGAUGCGAGAUUCGAAGAUGGAGAUCAUUCAAAUGUGUAGGAAGACUUAAACAUGUCUGGAGAUACAACUGCUUAAUGGUAAAAAAUUUGGUAUGUUGUUUUUUUUCUAUUUGUGUUUAUCUUGAAAUUGGACCUUCAUAAUAUUACAAUUCUUUCUUUUUAGGCAUAUAGGCUUAUAUAGUUGCAUUUGAAUGUGCGAAUGAGAUAAAACUUAGCAAUUGUUGAACUUUUAUUAAUUAUUAAAUUGAGAUAUCACAAUAUUACAAAGGUGUUAUAUCAACAAGCACAUAUAUGGAAAUAAGGAGUUUGUCAUUGUGAUUGUUGUCGGUUCAUUCCUUCACGGAAGCUAGCUAGCAUUAGCAUGGAUUGUUGAACAUGAUUGACAAAUAGCACGCGUCGCCAUUAACGGAAGCAAAGUUGAUCAUAUCGGUGAAAAAAAUUUCUGGUUAUUAACCUUGUUGAUGAUUUAAACCAAAAACCGAAGUGUAAUAAACCUUGUGAUUAUUCUAAGUUUGUUACAUUGAAAUUUCUCAUGAAAGAUAUAGAAAUUUAUCAUAU
Molecule: long non-coding RNA, 776 nt
Organism: Vicia villosa (hairy vetch)
Lineage: Eukaryota; Viridiplantae; Streptophyta; Magnoliopsida; Fabales; Fabaceae
Exons: 3
Source: RefSeq, a predicted model, not a curated record